AAACUAUAAAUACCUUACAAGUAAGGUAUUUAUAGUUUAUAAAAAAAAAAAAUGUUUAGCUUGAGCCUUUUUUUUGUUGGCGUGAGAUUAGACAUGCUGGUAUUAGUAUAAUGUAGUCUAAUAAAUUAGUAAAAUCAAUCUUUAAAGAGGGUAAAAUAUGUGCCAGCAUCUGCGGUUAUACUUAACUCUUUUAUUAAAGUUAAUGGGUAGGCUAUUUUAAAGUUAAUGUGGUUAAAGUUUUGGUGAAAUAGUGGAAAUAAUAUUAUACUUAGUUAAGACCAGGCUUAAUUUGAACUAGGAUUAGAUACCCUAUUACUUGUUUAUGUAGCCUAAUGAUUAAAUAUAAAGUUAUAUUGCUUGGCGGCUAGUUUUUAAUUUAGAGGAGUUUGCUGGUAAUCGACACUACUCGUUAGUUCUAAUCUAUUAAUUUAUGUACACCGUCAUUUAGUUAAUUCAAAGAAGAAAAAUUAAGGGUGUUAGUCAAAUAAAUUAGAUCAAGGUGCAGAGUGCUUAGGGUGUUAGUUAACUACAAUAUACAAAUAUAUAUUUAGACUAUACUGCUAAAGUCGAAAGGUGGAUUUAAAUGUAAUUAAUUAUGUUUGAUAGGAGAAAUUAGUGUACAAAUUGCCCGUCAAUCUCUCUGAGAUAAGUCGAAACAAAGUAGAGGUACUUGAAAGUGUUUCUA
RNAcentral lists this ribosomal RNA (685 nucleotides) under Gammarus pulex. RNAcentral's name for it is "12S ribosomal RNA". Lineage: Eukaryota; Metazoa; Arthropoda; Malacostraca; Amphipoda; Gammaridae. The record is from RNAcentral.